AUCGCCUUCACCACUCGGCCACAACUACCUGAUGCAGAUCUCUUUGCCCCGCUGAUCACAGUGCCUGUGCAAUGACACCUGGCUGCCGGGGAGUUUCAGGGCAAUGCUCCACUUCCAGAUUUGUAGCCGGGACUUUCACUGCACGUGUAAUGAGUCAAAGACCUCUCUGUGUUAUCUCAAGGCAUCCUGGAGGCCCUGACUAACCCUGUUCAGGAGCCGGCACUGCAGGGACAUCCUGGAACUGGGUGCAACACCGUCCCUGGCAGCUAAGAGCUGAGACAACUUCAUGUCGCUUGCAGCUUAUGGCCUAUGGAACACUGGAGAAAAAGGAGCCUCUCAGAACUGGACUCUCUGUCUGAAGGGGACAAAGCUACUCAAACCUUUUCUAGUUCAACCGUUGCUUAAAGCAAAACAAGCUACAGUCCUUCCUCUGCUGACAUUCAGAAAACAAUCUGCAUGGGCUCUGGAACACAGCAUAAAAGCCUGCUCUGCUCCAGGCUCUGCAUCUUCCUCUCUUGCUUCCCUUUCCUCUAAGAGCAAGCUUUGCCUCGCUCACCGAGAGAUGUCUUGCUUCAGACCAUGUCCCCCACGCCCCUGCGGCACCUCUGGCCCAACGCCACUUGCAAGCAGUUGCAGUGAACCCUGCAUCUCCCGCUGCGCUGACUCGACGGUGUUCAUUGAGGCCUCCCCAGUGGUGGUGACCCUGCCGGGCCCCAUCCUCACCUCUUUCCCGCAGAGCACAGCCGUGGGAUCCUCUCUGUCAGCUGCUGUUGGGAGCUCCCUCAGCACUGGCGGGGUUCCCAUCUCUUCUGGGGGCUCCCUUGGUCUCGGGGGCUCAGGCCUGUGUCUGCCUCCCCCCCGCUGCAGUCUGAACUGCUGAAGCUGGCGGAUCAUCCCCUUUGGAGCCGGAAGGAGGACGUGCACCCUGCAUGAGCAGGAGCGUGGCCACGGCUUCCAGAUGGGCUGCGUGUCCUCUUCCCACCUGGCAGGAGGGUCCUGUGCCCACUGCUCCUCACUGCUGGACGAGCCUCGCACUGCCUUCUCUGUCUCUGCUUUGCUCUGAGCCCCUAAGAGAAAGGGCUCCUUCUCUUCUGCUUUGCUGAACCUCCUACUGAGGUGGAGAGGGAUCUGGAGUCAGGGACUGCUCUUGGUGGCCUGGGAAUACCACCAGGUGAAGCAGAAUGGGAAAAGGGAAGCUCUUUCUGUGGACCUUGUCCUUUGGAAACGGGCCCUUCUCUGUGCCUCCCCAAACCCUGCAGACAUCUUCCCUGGUCUCUCUUCUGUGCCCCUGCAUUUGCUCCUUCUGAUUAAAGACUAUGUGCAGCAUAUCUGGAGUCUCGUGGUUGGUUGUUCUCCUCCUCCCUCACUUACCUGCUGUGCAAGGAGAGAUCUGCUGUCUCUCAUGACAGACAAGCAUGGACUACUGCCAUGUUUAGCUGGAGCUCCCUGAAUUGAUCGAGGAUCAAAAAUAAACAAGUUGACAAAGAGAAACAGAAAAGCCCCAGAGAAACUGAGCGAGGAAGAAGCAGUGGACAGAGUUGGAUCUGUGGCUACUGCCAGAGGUAUUGGUGGUCAAAGACGGGAAAAGGUUGCUCAGGGAGUAGAAGAUUCUCCAUCUUUGGAGAUGUCUAACGUAGAACCAGACAAGGCCAGGAAAAACGUCCCCUGCUUGACCUGGACCUGGACUUUGUGAUCUCCACCUCAGGUGUUGCGUGAUUUGGUGAGAAACUGCUGGAUGCCCCCAUGCAGG
Molecule: long non-coding RNA, 1750 nt
Organism: Pezoporus flaviventris
Lineage: Eukaryota; Metazoa; Chordata; Aves; Psittaciformes; Psittacidae
Exons: 3
Source: RefSeq, a predicted model, not a curated record